This 3898-nucleotide long non-coding RNA is filed under the name Brassica napus (rape). RNAcentral describes it as "long non-coding RNA (BNAP_LNC007583)". The record is from RNAcentral. Lineage: Eukaryota; Viridiplantae; Streptophyta; Magnoliopsida; Brassicales; Brassicaceae.
AGGGUGUUCACAUACUUUUUGUUUGGCUUGCUUAUGUUGUUUUGAGAACGAGUUUGUUGAGGUUGAACUGCAGAUUGGUUGACAUUAGAGAUCGUCGAAGGUUUUGGUUCUGGGAUUAUAGGAAUUGUGUGGGAAGACAACAUUGCGGUGAAAAGUUGAGUGGCCCAUUUAUCUUAUAUAUUACUAAGGAUCUCUUCCAACAUCCGAUGUGGGGUACUUUGUGUCUAAUACGCUCCCUCGAGAUGAUGGCUCUUUGAGCAUCAAUCUCAGAAUGCUCGGGCAAGGAUCGAUGGGCCAACUUUGGGCCAGAUCGAUGGGCCAACUUUGGGCAAGAUUGAUGUGGAUCGAGUUGAACUGUAUGAAUCGGGUUCUGAUACCAUGUUGGUUGAAUGACUUGAUUCAUUAGAAGAGUAGAUGUACAAUAUAUAUACAGACGUCUAAUGCUAGGGUAUCUAAUACAAGUAAUUACAUUGUAAUCCCUAAUCAUAUAUUUCCUUAUCUUGUCUAUAGGAGAUAGAUAUGCUCUAGCUGCGUGAUUUUACCGCUCUGAACGAGACGACCGAGCUUGGUGACUGGUGUCCAUUUCUUGUCUGGGAUGGCCUCCAUGGUGUCCGCGGCCUCUUCUAGGACCGCCUCUUCCGCCACCGCGACUGCUGAAUCCACGUCCGAAAGUGCCACGGUCACCGCCACGCUCAGUGCUGCGUUCUCCGCCUCUUUCCACCAUUGUCGAUGCAGUGAGCUUGCUUAGGGGUUUGAAGGUAUAUAGGUGGGCAAAAGAUCAGGGUUUUCUUAAACCAGAAUUAUGGGCUCGUGGACUGAAGUUUGAUUAAUUUGCCUAUUUAGGAUAACCCCGGUUUUUCAAAGAAAAAUUCAAAUAAUUCGAACUUUUUUAUAAGAUAUUGGAUAAUUCAAACAUUUUGAAAUAUUUUUGAUAAAAAAAAUUCUGAUAAUUCAGCUUUUUUUUUUAAUAAUUUGAUCUAUAAAUGAGUUUUAGAAUAUUUGGUUAUUUUAAAACUUUAAAUAUUUAAUUAAUAUUUUAUGUAUAUAAGCUGUAUUUUGAAAUUUCGGAUAUGCGUUCAGUUUUUUGUUUGGUUUUCAGUUCGAUUUUGAUUUUUUCAUCUAAAAAUAUAAAAGAAACCCAAUCAGAUAUUUACUAAUUUGUUGACAAAAAAAAAGAUAUUUACUAAUUUGAUUUAAUUUUAUUGGUUCAGUAAUGUAUGGUUCGGUUUCAGGGAAAUGUGCCCGAACUUCAAUCAAUACUAUCCUCACAUAGACCAAGCGAGUCAGAUCGACCACAUGAUGAAUUAAGGGGCUAUGUUCAACAGACGAGGCUCCUCUUUCUGGCAACCUGUUCAGAACACGUGGUGGCGGCUAUUGACAACAUGUGUGGACGCGUCUCUAAACUCUACUUUUCUUUUAACGUUUUUGACCCGCGUCUCUAAACUCUACUUUUCUUUUAACGUUUUUAACGUUAUGGUCAUCCUUAUGUGUGGAGUUCGGCUAAUUUGGGGUUCUCUAAUUCCAGUUUAGUUGCAGAGACAAUAGCUUUACUUGUGGCAAUAUAUCCUAUAAAAGCUGUCACAAUUAUUAAUGGGAAGAUUACAACUCCAAGUCAGCAGAAUGUUUGGAUAGGACGAUAUAGCAAUAUGAUCUUUGAAAGAGACUCAGAAAUCUUGGUUAAAACGAUCAAUGAUCAACUAACGAACUCAACCAUUCAUAAUCUUCUUGAAGAAAUUACUAGCUUGAAGAAUAAGCUUUUUCUAUCAAUAUUUACUUUUGUCAAACGUAAUGGAAAUCAAAUCACCCAUAAAAUCUUAACUGUCCUAAGGGUGAGUUUCUCUUCAGCCAGUAGAGUUUCUCUUCCACCACUCCCCCCUGGAUUUAUCUUCAAGAGUGAUUCAAGCCAAAACUUUUUUUUUAUCGAUAUAUAUAUUUUUUUGAUAAUAGGCGAUCACAAAGGAGUAAAGGAACAACCCGGAUCCAAGAAAUAAGAAAAGAAAAACGUGGAGAAAUGAGAAGAUGAAAGAUGAAAGAAAACAAACCAGCCAAAGUGGCUCUGAUACCACUUGAUACGCCUUAGACUGAAGGAUCACUUUAGCUGGGUGUUGGAUAUGAUACAAGAAGGCAAACAACACUUCUGGAACUGAGAUGGAUUGAAAGGAUCGUUAAGAGAUGCGGAAUGGCUCUUGAUAUACCCACGAUCUAAGGCAAAACACCAAAGAAAGAAUGAAUGUGUCGGCUAACCACCAAACAACACACAAAGAUGAAUUGGUUGACCACCAAAUCAACAAGCUGGUUCACACCAAUGAACUAGCUAAAGAAAACUCUCUCUCUCACUCAGAGAAGAAACAAAAUAAACUCAAAACAUAGACUGAUUUUAUUCAUAGAAUGAGACUACAUAUUUAUAGUGUUUGUAGUCAAAGACUAAUAAAGAAAAUACACGGAAAAGAAUGCAUAGAAAAUACAAAUUUGACCAGAUCUGAAUUAAUGAGUCAAAGACUUAGUCUUCCAUGCAGAUUGGUCAAAGAUGGCCCCUUCAGAUAAUGUUCAGGUUCAUCUGAACCAGAUGGAUGCACGGGGUAAAGAUAAGGACGCUUGCGGGACUGUCCGGAUGGUCCACCGAAUGAGAAUGCAUAUCCGUCUUCGGUUUCUUCACGACCCAAGCUAAGUCUGGCUCGACCGUGGGUUUUAGAAUGUCGAGUUGGUCGGGGAAGACGAGCUCCGUUACGGUCAGUUCGGUCAUCUGGUCGUGGUUCCAGCCGAAGCUCCAACCAGGACGCACGCGGGACGGCUCGGUCAGUCUGAUCGCUACGGUCGGAUGAACGAACCCCGGUCAAAUUUUUCAAAACGUCCUGAUCUCCAUGCUGGUCGGCUCCAAUGGACCGAUCCACGAACCAGGGCACAUCACUUGUGUUGCUAUCAGUAACGAUGAUAUCGUUGACGUAUACUAGAAGAUAGACUAUGUCAUUGCCUUGUCGUAGCACAAAGAGUGAGGUAUCAGCGACAGAGUUCCGAAAAUCAAGUGAUAGUACAUAGACCUUGAGUUCUUGGUACCAAGCGCAUGGGGACUGUUUCAAGCCGUAAAUCACUUUAUUAAGGCGACAAACAUAGUCAGGUCGAUCCUUGUCCACAAAUCCCGGUGGUUGCGUCAUAUACACUUCUUCUGUGAAGCGAGCUUGCAGGAAAGCGUGGUUUACGUCGAGUUGUCAAAGAGGCCAUGUCUUAGUUUCUGCAACGCCAAGUAUCGUUCUCAUUGUUGUUGCUUUGAUCACAUGACUGAAAGUAUCUGCAAAAUCAAUCCCAUAUUAUAAACACGAGCCACGAGCCUUGAUUUGUGCAUGUCAAGUUGAUCGUUAUGGAGCAAUUUUUAUCUGUAAAAAUCCAACGACAACCAACAAUGUUUUGAUGCGGGGAUGGUGGAAUCGAAUCCUAAGUUCUGUUUUUGAUUUGAGCAUUCAACUUUACCGAACAAGCUUGUCUCCAGGAUGGAUAUCGCAACGCCUGGUUAAUGGUUUUGGGUAUUUGGUAUUUUUGUAUUUUGGUGGUGAGGGUGUUCACAUACUUUUUGUUUGGCUUGCUUAUGUUGUUUUGAGAACGAGUUUGUUGAGGUUGAACUGCAGAUUGGUUGACAUUAGAGAUCGUCGAAGGUUUUGGUUCUGGGAUUAUAGGAAUUGUGUGGGAAGACAACAUUGCGGUGAAAAGUUGAGUGGCCCAUUUAUCUUAUAUAUUACUAAGGAUCUCUUCCAACAUCCGAUGUGGGGUACUUUGUGUCUAAUACGCUCCCUCGAGAUGAUGGCUCUUUGAGCAUCAAUCUCAGAAUGCUCGGGCAAGGAUCGAUGGGCCAACUUUGGGCCAGAUCGAUGGGCCAACUUUGGGCAAGAUUGAUGUGGAUCGAGUU